RNAcentral lists this ribosomal RNA (205 nucleotides) under uncultured bacterium. Its description in RNAcentral is "partial 16S ribosomal RNA". It matches the Rfam family "Bacterial small subunit ribosomal RNA", at positions 568 to 773 of the family's 1533-position model. The record is from RNAcentral.
CUCGUAGGCGGCCAACUAAGUCAGACGUGAAAUCCCUCGGCUUAACCGGGGAACUGCAUCUGAUACUGGAUGGCUUGAGUUCGGGAGAGGGAUGUGGAAUUCCAGGUGUAGCGGUGAAAUGCGUAGAUAUCUGGAGGAACACCGGUGGCGAAGGCGGCAUCCUGGACCGACACUGACGCUGAGGAGCGAAAGCCAGGGAGCAAAC